Molecule: long non-coding RNA, 207 nt
Organism: Drosophila navojoa
Lineage: Eukaryota; Metazoa; Arthropoda; Insecta; Diptera; Drosophilidae
Source: RefSeq, a predicted model, not a curated record
AGCUUAAGCACCCAAGCAUGCAUUUAAAUGCAACCUGAUUUGAUUACAAAGCCGUAGCAGGAGUGGAGUGGCGAGUGCAAGUGCAAGUGCGCUGAGCGCUGACAGCUACAACAAUCGUGCUUUGUUAUCCAUAUGUCAGAAGCAUUCGUCAAUCAAUUAACGUCGCUUGCCAAUCAGAGAGGUAAUUGCAAAGAUUUAAUUGGAUGA